Molecule: long non-coding RNA, 1466 nt
Filed under: Anolis carolinensis (green anole)
Lineage: Eukaryota; Metazoa; Chordata; Lepidosauria; Squamata; Anolidae
Description: lncRNA (ENSACAG00000035014.1)
Source: RNAcentral
UGGCUCCUGUGUUUGGAGAGAAGCGUCCAAGGAUGCUUCCAUUCUGGUUGUGGGCGGGGCUUCUGUCAGAAGUCAUACGAUGUCGUGUGAUAGCAGGUGUGGGGCUCUGUCCACAAAGCAGGCUGUAAGCACCCUAGGACAUUUGAUUUGGUCAGUGUGAUGAGGUUCUUAGAGAACUUCUAUCACACUGGCUUUCUAUCAACUGGAUUAUUUCCAACCUGCUUCUGAGAUUAAUUGAAGGGGCUGGUUUUGACCUACAACACCCUAAACAGCUUGGUACCAGGAUAUGGGGAAAAUCUCCUCCUCUGAUAUGAAUUUGACUCAAAUUUGAGAUCCCCAACAGAGGUCUGAAGAGACUAGAUUAAUUAAUACACAAAACAGGGUUUUCUGUUUAGUGGGGCUUGUGAUGUGGAAGUCCCUCCUAGAGAAGUCAAGCAGGUAUCUUCCCUCUGGAGCAGCCCGAAGGUACUCAAGAAGAUGGCCUUGUUUUGUAUAGCCUAUGGUGAUUAAAAUCAGGACAGUCUUUUCUGAUUGUUUUAGGUGUGUGUGUGUGUGUAUGUGUAUGUGUGUGUGUGUAUAUAUAUAUCUCAAGAUGUAUAUAUAAAAAGUCCAAGGUUUUACUGCUUUUUUACUGUAGUAGUUGAGUCAAGUUGAGAGGUAUUAAAUAAAUACUUAAUUAAAUACAUAAUAAGUAAUUAAUUCCCUGAUAAUGCAAAGUAAAAAUGGGUUAACCGGUUUUACCCUACGUUACAGGCCGGAGGUUCCUCAACAUCAUGUGGAUGUCCAGGAGCAACUUUCAGUGUGAUUUGGGUUUGUGCCAUGGCCAGUGAAGACAUGUCCUCAGAAACGCUGAGAUUUCCCAUUCCUGAUGUAGAUCCAUGAAUUGUUGCUCAACAUUUCUUUUUGAAUCGAAGGUACCGCUGUGGUUCUCCCCAAUGGAGGCAGAACACAUGAGAGAAAUCCCAAGAGAAAGGUGGCUGACUUAUAGACAAAUAUUAAAAAUGGAAAAUCAAGAAAUAAGUCUCAAAACACAUGAAGAGAUCAAACAAAUAGAACCGUCAAUGACAUAGCUGAACUACUGGCAAUUGAAGGAAAGUUUUAUAGAGGAUAAAAAGGAUUCGAAAAAAAGGACACAUGUUGGGAUAAAAUACUAAAAAUAGAAACUAAACUAAUUAAAAUAUUAUAUCAGCAACUGCUAGUAUGGGAGACAACAGAAGAACAAGUCAAGGAGGUGAUGAUAAAAUGGGCUCAGGAUGUAGGCCAUACGAUAAACCUGACAGAAUAGGAAGAGACAUGGAAGAAGAAACAAAAAUAUACAUAUGCUGCCGAGUUGAAGGAAAAUUGGUACAAGAUGUAUUUUAGGUGGUAUCUUACACCGGAAAGGCUAGCUAGAUUCAGUAAAGGAAAUGGUAAUGGGAAAUUUUGAAAAUGUGAAAAACACAAAGGAGACUUCAUACAUAUGUGGU